Long non-coding RNA from Mauremys mutica (yellowpond turtle), 1611 nucleotides. RefSeq lists it as uncharacterized. Lineage: Eukaryota; Metazoa; Chordata; Testudines; Geoemydidae. The transcript has 3 exons. The record is from RefSeq and is a predicted model, not a curated record.
GACCAUGGUAAAAAUCACCUCGGUGCAGAACAUUAUGGGAAAUUCGUACAAAUGACCAGGAAAGAAGCAAAGUCACGUUUCACAAUAAAAAAAGAAGCCAGAAACUGUCGCUUGAAUCAAACUAUUGUCCUGGAUCCCAACAGGAAGAGAGUUUCAUAUGAUUUUUCUUACUGGAUUAGACCAUUGGUUUAUCAAGUCUGGUGUAGACAUGUCUGAGCUCCAAACCUGGAUGGGAACUCCCUUUCUUUACUGCCAGCUUUUCAAAAAGUUGGUAGAAUUUCUAAUGGAGAUCUGGAUCCACUAUCUAAUGUGUCAGAAGAAGCAACACACUGCUGUGGGAAUGGCUUCUGCCUCACUGCAAUUGCUGUAUGUAAGCUGGACUCCUGAUGGUGAUUUAGCAGUGGAGAAGCUAUGCCCAUCUACAACCAGGGACUAAGGAAUCAUUGCAGGAAGAAGAGCUUUUUUCCCAAGGUUGUGUUCAUUAUGGAAGAUAUCUCACUGCUGAGGGUGAGCAGGGAAUCAAGGGAAGGUCUUCUCCAAGCCUGCGACUUCCACUCUGGCCCCUAUGCGGCUAGCCCUUGUGCAGCUAUUGUUCCCCCUCCCCCGUGACGGCACAGUGGCAUGGGAAAGUUACCAUUAAUGAGGCAAGAAACAAAGCAGCUCUGCCGAGGAACCUGCAGGAGCGGAUUGCCCAGUAUCUCUACGAGAGUUUCCUGGAGAUCUCUGAGGGAGAUUCCCGUGAAGUGAGGGAGUGUAUCAACAGCCUGUUCCACCGCUCAAAAUAGGCAUGAGAUAGGAGACAAGCCUGCUUUCUGCAACCCUCCUGCCCCCAACAACUCGCUUCAGCAAAUCCCCAAAUCAGAUCCACUUACCAGGUGCCUCCUCUUCUGUUUGUGCUUCACCAAGCUCCAACUGCUGUGACUGGGUAGGCUCCUCUGGGGUAGAAAAGAGUUCCUGACUGCAGGCAUCUCUGGCUUCUGAGUCAUCCUCUGCCUCUGGGUCCCCCUCACCCUCUUCAUUCAAGAUUGCCUCCUCCUGGCUCAGUCCACUCUAGACUCGCAGGCAAGCCAAUGAAGUAUCCAAAUGGCCCAUUGUUAGAGUGAAGUGUCCUUAAUGGGCCAUCAACACAUAGCCCUAAUGUAAAUCCAUCUGUGGUUGUCAGCCAGGAAUACAAACAGGUAUCAGAUACCAAUGCAAAGCCAUAUUCAUAACUUCAGCUACAGAGGUGAUACAUGGAUUUAACCACGAUAAUCAUACUUGAUAGAUUGUAACUUUUCCAUUGACACCUUAUAUGACCUACUUUGUACAAGAUUUGUUGCAAUUGUAUAACAGUGGUAGGGACAACGAUAUACACGGUCGUCUUUCUUAUCCACAGCGUCACAGUGGGUUAGUUGCAUUCCCACCAGAAGAGAUUUGUGUAGGGAAAUCUUGAUUCUGUACACAAAAAUCUACAUGACACAAGCUAAAUCAUUCUUUGUUACAGACUGACUUUGAUUCCUAUGUGCAGUCUAUCAUACGAUUAGUGUCAAGAUGAUAGAAUGAUGCUCCCACAUGAAUUUGAUUCCAGCUGUUCCAGGUUUGAUAUCUGUGGAUGACACAUUUAUCAGUGAU